ACGUAGGGUGCGAGCGUUGCCCGGAUUUAUUGGGCGUAAAGGGCGCGUAGGCGGGAUGGCAAGUCAGUCGUGAAAUCUCUCGGCUCAACCGAGAAACGUCGGCUGAUACUGCCGUUCUUGAGGGAUGCAGAGGAGACUGGAAUUCCCGGUGUAGCGGUGAAAUGUGUAGAGAUCGGGAGGAACACCGGUGGCGAAGGCGGGUCUCUGGGCAUCUCCUGACGCUGAGGCGCGAAAGCGUGGGGAGCAAACGGGA
Molecule: ribosomal RNA, 253 nt
Filed under: uncultured prokaryote
Description: partial 16S ribosomal RNA
Rfam family: Bacterial small subunit ribosomal RNA
Source: RNAcentral